CUCUAUUUUUCCCCCGGGGAAUCUUUAGAAUUACCACUGCUUAGCUUUCAAUUCGCCUCUGACCAUCAAAUGAAAUGUGAAUAACCCGUCCUCCUCUCUUUGAAACAAGGGGCGCUUCUGGUUCUGUCGGUGCUUGAAACAAUUUUGUCUUCUCCAUAUUACUAUAUCUCUAGAGUCAAUAAUUUUAUAUGAGGAACUACUGAACUCAAUCACUUGCUGUCGUUACUCUUCAGUUUUCUGUUGAGGUCUAUCCUGUAGAGGUACU
Molecule: long non-coding RNA, 265 nt
Filed under: Gossypium barbadense (sea-island cotton)
Lineage: Eukaryota; Viridiplantae; Streptophyta; Magnoliopsida; Malvales; Malvaceae
Description: long non-coding RNA (GBAR_LNC008421)
Source: RNAcentral